This 258-nucleotide ribosomal RNA is filed under the name uncultured bacterium. Its description in RNAcentral is "partial 16S ribosomal RNA". It matches the Rfam family "Bacterial small subunit ribosomal RNA", at positions 524 to 776 of the family's 1533-position model. The record is from RNAcentral.
UACGUAGGGGGCAAGCGUUAUCCGGAAUUAUUGGGCGUAAAGAGCUCGUAGGCGGUUUGUCGCGUCUGCCCGUGAAAGUCCGGGGCUCGAACUCCAGGAGUACUGCGGUGGGUACGGGCAGACUAGAGUGAUGUAGGGGAGACUGGAAUUCCUGGUGUAGCGGUGAAAUGCGCAGAUAUCAGGAGGAACACCGGUGGCGAAGGCGGUUCUCUGGGCAUUACCUGACGCUGAGGAGCGAAAGUGUGGGGAGCGAACAGG